UUCCUGUUAGUCUGAGUCUUCUGAUAAAUAUCUCCUCCACCUCCUCUCCUCAUCCUCUAAACUCUCUCAUCUGUCAGCAGUGAGGUCACCCUUAUAAAAUCCAAGAUCAUUCUCAGCACAAACUGACAACAUGCUGGGGACCCUCUGCUCUCUCAUCACAGCUCUAACAUGUGUGAGUGGAGUGACAGUGGUGACACAGAAGCCUUCAGUUCUGACGGUGAGGAAAGGAGAGACAGCCACCAUGGACUGUAACCUGGGGACUGUUGGUAACUAUCAAGCCUGGUGGUACAGACAGAUCCUAGGAGGAGUUCCUCUCUAUAUGCUGAGUUUUUAUCAUGGCUGGAGUUCACCCAGCUAUGACACUGGGUUCCCUUCUGCAAGACACACUUCCACUCAUCAGUCAUCAUCAGAUUAUCGUUUGAUCAUCAACAACAUAGAAGAAGGAGACUCUGCAGUUUAUUACUGUAAAACAUGGGACACCUCUGUUAAUGAGUACGUAUCACAGUGAUUUAUGCUGUGACAAAAACCUCGACACAAACACUUCUGCUUUUUCACUGAUAGUUCUCAGAGGACUUGGCUUAUAUUUGUUUAGGUAUUCUUUAGUUUCACAUUUUAAUGUAUUUGGGGGUUUUGAACUCUUU
Non-coding RNA from Cyprinodon tularosa, 641 nucleotides. The record is from the annotation of a RefSeq genome assembly. NCBI's taxonomy places the organism in Eukaryota, Metazoa, Chordata, Actinopteri, Cyprinodontiformes, Cyprinodontidae.